Molecule: transfer RNA, 76 nt
Filed under: Podarcis lilfordi (Lilford's wall lizard)
Lineage: Eukaryota; Metazoa; Chordata; Lepidosauria; Squamata; Lacertidae
Description: tRNA.Ala
Rfam family: tRNA
About the family: Transfer RNA (tRNA) molecules are approximately 80 nucleotides in length.
Source: RNAcentral
GGGCGUGACCACAACUCAGUGGCCGAACAUCUGCUUUGCAUGCAGAAGGUCCCAGGUUCAAACCCUGGCAUCUCCA